RNAcentral lists this long non-coding RNA (221 nucleotides) under Homo sapiens (human). RNAcentral describes it as "long non-coding RNA NONHSAT198918". Lineage: Eukaryota; Metazoa; Chordata; Mammalia; Primates; Hominidae. The record is from RNAcentral.
GAUAUUCAAAGUAAUAAUUUGGGGGCAUAUUUAUGCUAGAUGUGGAGAUUAAAAGGAACUUGGUUUUGUUCAGGAGGUGGGUAAGAAAGUCUCUGUUAGUGGUUUGGACAAAGAUAGAUGGAGUGUGGAAGGUGUUAAAAGUGUAGGAACAGAAGAGUUGUGUAUUCUCAUGUGCGGAAGGUGUUAAAAGUGUAGGAACAGAAGAGUUGUGUAUUCUCAUG